AUCGGUGGCAAUAGCCCCAGGGUCACACCCGUUCCCAUACCGAACACGUAGGUUAAGCCUGGGUACGCUGAUGGUACUGCCAUGGAAGCGUGGUGGAAGAGUAAGUCGUCGCCGGUA
Oxobacter pfennigii is the source of this 117-nucleotide ribosomal RNA. The record is from Rfam. Lineage: Bacteria; Bacillati; Bacillota; Clostridia; Eubacteriales; Clostridiaceae.